Molecule: long non-coding RNA, 546 nt
Organism: Amphiprion ocellaris (clown anemonefish)
Lineage: Eukaryota; Metazoa; Chordata; Actinopteri; Pomacentridae
Source: Ensembl
GUCAGAGAUCAGUCAGUCAGAGAUCAAUCAGUCAGUCAGCAAUCAGUCAGUCAGAGAUCAGUCAGUCAGUCAGAGAUCAAUCAGUCAGUCAGAGAUCAAUCAGUCAGUCAGAGAUCAAUCAGUCAGUCAGAGAUCAAUCAGUCAGUCAGAGAUCAAUCAGUCAGUCAGAGAUCAAUCAGAGAUCGAUCAGCAGAGAGUCCAGCUGCAGUGUUUCUCACCUGCUUCAUCGCUGCUGGUCCAGAUGAGUGCUGAGGCUCCGCCCCCUUACCAUCCUCACCUGUCCGACGCCGCCGCUUCCCCUCCAGCUCUCAGCUGCUUCCCCGGCUCCUCGUACCAGACCUUCCCUCAGACCUUCCACACCCACUACCACGGAGAUCCAGGCCUCACAGCGCCGGGGUACCAGGACGGCCCGGUCGGACCCCCUAAACACACCGUUUACGUCGUGGAGCAACAUCACCAUGACGACGGUGGCGGCGGUGACUCGUGUCUGGCGGUUCUCUGCUGCUGCUUCCUGUGGAACCUUCUGACCGCCCACCACUGACCCUC